UGUAAACAAUUCCUGGAAGAUGAAAAUGUCCCAGUUCCUCCAUGGCCUGCAUACUCACCAGACAUGUCACUCAUUGAGACAAGAACAACAAAGCUAUACAAGGACAAGGUCACCAACUCAUGGCUGUGCGCUCAAGGCUAUAUGAUAUGACUAUAAAAUCACGGACCUCUCCCCCAGGGUCUGAGACUGGUGGCAGUCCCCUCCGGAAACUAUGUGGGGGUAGAACUCGGCGGGGAACUCUAGCAGGAGCCUGUCAAUCAGACACAGGCGGCCCAGCAGGGCCUGCCAGUUAUUGGCCUCCGUCUGGGGCCCCAGGAUGCAGUUCAGGACAUAGUCGACCCCGCCAAUACCGAUGGAACCUGGGAGAAAGGAUCUGUGGGGGUACAGUAAUAUUAAAGAGUCUCACCAGUGCGGCCACGUAGACCUUGUAGACAGGGUCGGCACACACCAUGGAGAGGACGCUGCAGCAUGACUCCAACACCACAUCACCUGACACCUCUGUACAGCCCGCCCCGGCCCCCAGCCCGGCCCCCGGGCAGGAGUGCUCGCCAUUGGCCAGGAGGAGCGCGCCACUGACGUCGUGCAACAGCCGCCGCAGGGCCAUCUCCCGGAUGUUCCAGUUCCUGGAGAACAGGCAGCCCACCAACUCCAUGCCAAACACCUGGAGAGGAGGACACACACACAAUUAUGACUACGAACGGAAUAUGGCACUGAUCUGAUACAGACAUCCACUACAUGUAAACCCUCUUGGUAUGCAAAGGGAUGACAUUUGGUUUUGUUUGCCUAGUGCAAUGGAACAAUUCCUAAAUGUAAUGGAAUAGUCACAAAAUGCAAGCUCGAAAAGGUAAAUAAAGUAUUUGAAAGUAUUGUACA
Molecule: long non-coding RNA, 873 nt
Organism: Salvelinus namaycush (lake trout)
Lineage: Eukaryota; Metazoa; Chordata; Actinopteri; Salmoniformes; Salmonidae
Exons: 2
Source: RefSeq, a predicted model, not a curated record